GUGGGUAUAGCUCAGUGGUAGAGCACGUGCCUAGCAUGCACAAGGUCCUGGGUUCAAUCCCCACUACCUCUA
RNAcentral lists this transfer RNA (72 nucleotides) under Camelus bactrianus (Bactrian camel). It matches the Rfam family "tRNA". From Rfam's summary of the family: Transfer RNA (tRNA) molecules are approximately 80 nucleotides in length. Their secondary structure includes four short double-helical elements and three loops (D, anti-codon, and T loops). The record is from Rfam by way of RNAcentral. Lineage: Eukaryota; Metazoa; Chordata; Mammalia; Artiodactyla; Camelidae. RNAcentral also lists the same sequence under 1 other name.